UGCGGAGGGAUCAUUACUGAGUUAUCUAAACUCCAACCCUAUGUGAACUAUCUCUUUGUUGCCUCGGCGCAAGCUACCCGGGACCUCGCGCCCCGGGCGGCCCGCCGGCGGACAAACCAAAACUCUUGUUAUCUUAGUUGAUUAUCUGAGUGUCUUAUUUAAUAAGUCAAAACUUUCAACAACGGAUCUCUUGGUUCUGGCAUCGAUGAAGAACGCAGCGAAAUGCGAUAAGUAAUGUGAAUUGCAGAAUUCAGUGAAUCAUCGAAUCUUUGAACGCACAUUGCGCCCAUUAGUAUUCUAGUGGGCAUGCCUGUUCGAGCGUCAUUUCAACCCCUAAGCACAGCUUAUUGUUGGGAACCUACGGCUUCGUAGUUCCUCAAAGACAUUGGCGGAGUGGCAGUGGUCCUCUGAGCGUAGUAAUCUUUUAUCUCGCUUCUGUUAGGUGCUGCCCCCCCGGCCGUAAAACCCCCAAUUUUUUCUGGUUGACCUCGGAUCAGGUAGGAAUACCCGCUGAACUUAAGCAUAUCA
Molecule: ribosomal RNA, 528 nt
Filed under: Nigrospora sphaerica
Lineage: Eukaryota; Fungi; Ascomycota; Sordariomycetes; Amphisphaeriales; Apiosporaceae
Description: eukaryotic LSU rRNA
Rfam family: 5.8S ribosomal RNA (bases 171-324)
Source: RNAcentral